AAAUCGCUUUGGAUAAAAGCGUCUGCUAAAUGGCAUAUUAUUAUUAUCUCAGAACUUCUCUAGGUAAUAAAAAAAGGUGUGUUUUUCACCAACGUUUGUCAUCAUGCCCGUGUGCUGUUCUGGCUGUCUGUGCUAAUUACAAACAAGCACGAAAAUGAGGUAUCUUUCACCAUUCUACCUGCCAGAGAUUUACCCCGAUGCUGCCAGUGGGUUGCGGCUAUCAAUAAUUAUGCUUACGAUGACCAAAGAUUAUCAGAGUGAUUUUCAGGCUGAACAGAUGGGGAAUCCAUUUUAGACGACAGCUGAGAAGUGAUAUGAUACCAUCGUUUUCUCCCUUCACAACAGAAUGGAAGAUUCUCGAAAGAGGUGGUACAUAAUCUGAUUCCACCAGCCUGUGUUUCCAACCCCUAGCUCUGCAUAAAUUGAAGGUUAUCUGGAGGCCUUCCACAUGCCCUGCUGAAAAAUACCCUAAAGUGGGUACACGAGCAUGAGGGAGGGGACACACCUUGCAGUUAUGGAGCACAACAAGAUUGUGGGACAAAAACGAGAAAUGGACACUGUAUAAAAUCAAGACUACAACAGUAAUGACACAACCACCUCAUUCUUCUCUAUGCAGAUUCUCAAAAGACAAUACAAAGACACGUCUACAAAAAUCCCCUGCUACUAUUGACAAGAAUGAUCCUCAAUCUCCCAUACACCACAAUACAUAUUGUGUAAGAACUUCCCUCCUUUCACACCUUCUGCAGCCCCCCAGCCCAUUCACUUUGUUGACUGAUCUUUCCUCUCAAAAGCAGCUCCCAAUGGCCCUCAUUGUCCCUAAACAAUGCACUAGUCUGUCUCUAAACACUUAUGUCCCAAUCGGUUGACACCUUUACCAACAAAGGCAUUGCCCUACGUCCCUUCCACAAAAAGUGUAAAAUGGUAACACCACAACCAUGUCUUUCCAGGAGAUGUGCAGUACCAGCAAACCUUCUGCAAGAGGUCCAAACAGUUGGUGGUUAAGGUCUACGAGCCCUACACCACUUCCGGCAGUCUUAUCCAGCUGGCCGUACACUACAGACGGGACAAGACCAUUCGCCACAAGCGUUCUGCUUCCACAGCCCACCAUGCCUACACCAUUGCCAGUGUACCGAAGUUGGAUAAAGGACCAUAAAAUAAAAAUAUAUAUUUUCGAUCAAUCCUUGAAAUGUGUAUACCUUUAUGGAUUCACAGAAUAUA
Molecule: long non-coding RNA, 1218 nt
Organism: Coregonus clupeaformis (lake whitefish)
Lineage: Eukaryota; Metazoa; Chordata; Actinopteri; Salmoniformes; Salmonidae
Exons: 3
Source: RefSeq, a predicted model, not a curated record